This 491-nucleotide ribosomal RNA is filed under the name uncultured bacterium. RNAcentral describes it as "partial 16S ribosomal RNA". It matches the Rfam family "Bacterial small subunit ribosomal RNA", at positions 29 to 506 of the family's 1533-position model. The record is from RNAcentral.
AGUGAACGCUGGCGGUAGGCCUAACACAUGCAAGUCGAACGGCAGCACAGUAAGAGCUUGCUCUUACGGGUGGCGAGUGGCGGACGGGUGAGGAAUACAUCGGAAUCUACUUUUUCGUGGGGGAUAACGUAGGGAAACUUACGCUAAUACCGCAUACGACCUACGGGUGAAAGCAUGGGAUCUUCGGACCUUGCGCGAUUGAAUGAGCCGAUGUCGGAUUAGCUAGUUGGCGGGGUAAUGGCCCACCAAGGCGACGAUCCGUAGCUGGUCUGAGAGGAUGGUCAGCCACACUGGAACUGAGACACGGUACAGACUCCUACGGGAGGCAGCAGUGGGGAAUAUUGGACAAUGGGCGCAAGCCUGAUCCAGCCAUACAGCGUGGGUGAAGAAGGCCUUCGGGUUGUAAAGCCCUUUUGUUGGGAAAGAAAAGCAGCAGGUUAAUACCCCGCUGUUCUGACGGUACCCAAAGAAUAAGCACCGGCUAACUUCGU